UACGGAGGGUGCGAGCGUUAAUCGGAAUUACUGGGCGUAAAGCGUCCGUAGGCGGCUUGUUAAGUCUGAUGUGAAAGCCCUGGGCUUAACCUGGGAACGGCAUUGGAUACUGGCGAGCUAGAGUUCGGUAGAGGGUGGUGGAAUUCCCGGUGUAGCGGUGAAAUGCGUAGAGAUCGGGAGGAACACCGGUGGCGAAGGCGGCUUCUUGGUCUGCAGCUGACGCUGAGGCGCGAAAGCGUGGGGAGCAAACAGG
This 253-nucleotide ribosomal RNA is filed under the name uncultured bacterium. RNAcentral describes it as "partial 16S ribosomal RNA". It matches the Rfam family "Bacterial small subunit ribosomal RNA", at positions 524 to 776 of the family's 1533-position model. The record is from RNAcentral.